This is a non-coding RNA of Henosepilachna vigintioctopunctata, 73 nucleotides long. The record is from the annotation of a GenBank genome assembly. Lineage: Eukaryota; Metazoa; Arthropoda; Insecta; Coleoptera; Coccinellidae.
GUCUUCGUGGCUUAGUCGGGAAAACACCCGACAAUGGUGCGUUAGGAUUCAGGUUCGAUCCCCGGUGAAGGCA